Molecule: ribosomal RNA, 450 nt
Filed under: uncultured bacterium
Lineage: Bacteria
Description: partial 16S ribosomal RNA
Rfam family: Bacterial small subunit ribosomal RNA
Source: RNAcentral
GUGGGGAAUUUUGGACAAUGGGCGCAAGCCUGAUCCAGCAAUGCCGCGUGCAGGAAGAAGGCCUUCGGGUUGUAAACUGCUUUUGUACGGAACGAAACGGUCCUGGCUAAUAUCCGGGGCUAAUGACGGUACCGUAAGAAUAAGCACCGGCUAACUACGUGCCAGCAGCCGCGGUAAUACGUAGGGUGCGAGCGUUAAUCGGAAUUACUGGGCGUAAAGCGUGCGCAGGCGGUGCUGUAAGACAGGCGUGAAAUCCCCGGGCUCACCCUGGGAAUUGCGCUUGUGACUGCAGUGCUGGAGUGCGGCAGAGGGGGAUGGAAUUCCGCGUGUAGCAGUGAAAUGCGUAGAUAUGCGGAGGAACACCGAUGGCGAAGGCAAUCCCCUGGGCCUGCACUGACGCUCAUGCACGAAAGCGUGGGGAGCAAACAGGAUUAGAAACCCCUGUAGUCC